This 405-nucleotide ribosomal RNA is filed under the name uncultured bacterium. Its description in RNAcentral is "partial 16S ribosomal RNA". It matches the Rfam family "Bacterial small subunit ribosomal RNA", at positions 28 to 526 of the family's 1533-position model. The record is from RNAcentral.
GACGAACGCUGGCGGCGUGCUUAACACAUGCAAGUCGAGCGGAGCGGCGAACGGGUGAGUAACGCGUGAGUAACUUCCCCCCUCUCUGGGAUAACAGUUGGAAACGGCUGCUAAUACCGGAUAGUGGGGGUUGACUCGCGUCCUAUCGGCUUGUUGGUGGGGUAGUGGCCUACCAAGGCGCCGACGGGUAGCCGGCCUGAGGGGGGGGCCGGCCACAUUAGGCUGAGGUACGGCCCAAACUCCAACGGGGGGCAGCAGUGGGGAAUAUUGCACAAUGGGGCAAACCCUGAUGCAGCGGCGCCGCGUGCGGGAUGACGGCCUUCGGGUUGUAAACCGCUUUCAGCCAUGACGCGGUAGUGGCAGAAGAAGCACCGGCUAACUACGUGCCAGCAGCCGCGGUAAUUC